This is a long non-coding RNA of Dalotia coriaria, 891 nucleotides long. RefSeq lists it as uncharacterized. NCBI's taxonomy places the organism in Eukaryota, Metazoa, Arthropoda, Insecta, Coleoptera, Staphylinidae. The record is from RefSeq and is a predicted model, not a curated record. The transcript is spliced from 2 exons.
CCAGGUCAUGAAUAUCGAGCAGGAUCAAUAAUAUAAUAAUUCAUAAAAAGCAAUUUACAAAUCAAAGCAAUCCAUAAAACGUCAGUUGAAACGAUUUUUAAAAUAAAAACCGCUGUGUAAAGUCAAGGAAAUUCUCGUAAUCAUAUGUAAUCAUGGUUUAUCGUCCUCGUCCCUCGUUAUCGUCAUCAUCAUUAUGUGCUACAUUUUGUGGUGACUUAUUGCCAAAACGGUGGAGAAUGGCACACUUGCCGCAGGCAUAUUUAUUCCCCGAGAUAUACAAGUUUUUACGAUCAAAAUGAUAAAUGGUUAUUUAAAUAGUACGAUGUCGCGGAACAUAUGUGAAUGGAUGAAAAGGAUCUGAUGUGAUAUAAAAUUGCAGCGUUUCCAUAAGCCAUCCGAGACAUUUCCACGUGUUUUUCGAUAAUAAAUGAUAGAAAUUCAAAAACAUUUAAAAAAAAUUAUACUAGCAUCCAAGGCGUAAAAAGAAAAUGUUACCUACUCUAGAAAGGUGAGCCGUCUGAUAAACACGAGCAAGGCAGGGUUGCUUAUUAGCGCACAGAGGCAAUUUGAUCUGAAAAUAACAGCAAGAACGCGUCGCGCCGGCCUAUUAAUAAACAGGUCAUCCGAUUAAGCGGGGCGAGGUGAAUUUCUGUGAUUUCCCGUGGGGCCCUUAGAUUGAGUUUAUCGGGAAUCCGCGCGAGCACCAACAUCUGAAGCACGCGGAAUUGGAAUGAAUGAAUGUCGGACGCGACCAACAAGACGCUCGCAAUUUCUUUUUCCCAAUCGUUUUAUAGACUAAAAGAGACCGUCACGUUCAAGAACCUAUGAAAAUUUGUCUUUUUCUAUUUUAUUUUACAAGAAACAAAAAAAAUUGUUUUAAAAAGUCUAAAA